This is a long non-coding RNA of Perognathus longimembris pacificus (Pacific pocket mouse), 1084 nucleotides long. RefSeq lists it as uncharacterized. The transcript has 3 exons. The record is from RefSeq and is a predicted model, not a curated record. NCBI's taxonomy places the organism in Eukaryota, Metazoa, Chordata, Mammalia, Rodentia, Heteromyidae.
AACUCCUGCCUUGCCUUUCCCCAGAAUCUUUGUUCUCUCCUGCCUCUGCUGCUGCUGCUGUUUUGGUGUGUGGGGUGUGAGGCAAAGUGAACCACCCUUUAGACAAAACAUGGAGGUAGAGCUGGGAGAACCAAAAAUGGCUCAGGGUGAUAAUCUUAGGCAUGGGGCAGAGCUGACGAGCUAACAGUGGUUUCUGCCCAUGCCAGUAAUGUCUGCCUCUAUUGCAGAUUCCCUAGCAUGGUUCUUGGUCCCAGUGCACUGCAUGUCACUGGGGCCUAAACAGAAAACAACAGCUGCCAAUGCCACCCCCAGAUGUAAGCCAAGAGGCUGGGCCCUUCUGAUGUGCAGCCAAAGGUGUAGAAAGAGAGUCGGCCUUCUUCACUUCUAAAAAGAAAAAUCUCCCUCCCAUACUUAGGAUGUUUUAUUCCUGUUUUUAAGCUAGCUCAGCUUCCUCCCUGGCAUGGAGUUUUGAUAGAAGAGACAGCAAAAGGUGAAGAGACAGCAAAUGGUGGGGAUUUAGCUCACACAUUGUGUUUCAGACAGCUCAUGGGCACCCAAGAGGGAAAUGAGGAGAUGGAAACUUUAGAGGGAGAAGUGCCAAGGUCUAACAUGGCUCACAUCAAAGGAAUAUUCCUUCUCAUACUCCUUUCUCCUCCUGGCCCUUGACAUCUACUGAGUAUCAAUCAGUUCAGGUAGUUUUCAGCCAAGCACUACAAAGGUGGAUCAAUUUCUUAAAUCAGUUGAAAAGUUAGCUACCUUCUACACAGUUCAUUUUAUAGCAUAAGUACACUUAGCAUAACUCAACAGCUAGCUGUUAAAUUGCAACCUGCUUGUCAUUUGGAGUUGGCUUUGUUUAGCUUUCAAAUCUGCUUGGUAAAUUAAGUUAGUAUGAUGAUAGAGCCAACAAGAAUAAGAAAUGUGACUCAAUUGAGUCUCAGCUGAGACCCAAGAUCCUUAUUGUCCCAAUCUGUGUAGAUAAUUUUCUUCUAGGCAAACUUAGCCAUUUUCAAGUAAAGUGGGUAGAAAUUUAUGUUUUUGUUUGUUUAAUGUGGUUCUGGGGAUGCUGUCUUGAAUAUUUGCUAUG